AGGUAGUUUCUAAAGAGUGCGCCUGGAGUUACUUCUUAUGUCCUCUUGUUCCAGACGACUGAGACGGGUUUGCUGGUGAUAAGACCGGAGGAACCUAUCUCAACUGGCCGGCUGGACUCCGACACACUGAAAGAAAAGGAGAUGACUGGUGGACAGCUUAGAAUAGCAAUGAGGUAUGGUAUUUAUCUAUAAUACCUCUUCCAUGAUGAAUAACUAAUUUAUACAAAAUCCCAUUACUCAGAACCUUUCAAUCAUGGUAGAAUGAGGUCUCUGAUUUGGGUCCUGGUUAAUUUAGAAAUGGCUUCCCUCCCUGGGGACAUUCAUUGCUGCUGAGGCCAGCUGGUGAUGGGCGUGAAUUUGAACACUGCAAAGCUGGGAAUGUGAGUAAGAGCUUGUUAAUUCCCAGUUUAAAAUAGCCUGUGGGGCCUGGGGCCUUGCCCACUGCUAUUUUCUCCAGGGAUUUCAGCACCUGUCCAGCAUCCUCUCCCUGCCCUAAAAGCUACCACCACUGUCCUGAUGGCUGUGGUGUCUACAGGGAGCUGGACUUCAUCAGCACCGAGAGCUGUUGAAGCAUGAAGCCUCAGACUCUAGGAGAGUCCCCUCCUUGACCACAACCUCUGCUGGCCUGGCCCUGCCUCCAGGAAGCCGUGUUCCUAAACCUCAUCACAGUACCCACCAUUGCUUUCCUACAUAUAGAGGAAGAGCUGUUGGGUCUGAACACUGGCUGGGCCCUUCCAGAGCAUCCUGCUCAGAGAUUUUAGCCUAGGAACCCUCACCUUGAGGGAAGUCAGCCCUGAGCGCCCCAUAAGGAAGAACAGACAAGAAGAGAGCUGCUCUGACUGAGGGGUGUGUGUAGACUCCCAACUACUCUUCAUGUCGUAUGUUCUGGUUUUAUAAAUCACAGAAUGGAAGCCUAAACAUGUGGGAUUUUGAAUAAAUUAGGUUCCUAGCCCCAGACUUUUGCUUCUACAGGUAACGCAGAGCCUCAGCCCCCAGCGAAAUCCCUCUUCGCGGGCACCUCCCGCCGAAUAUUCUUGGCAGGCUCCAGAGAGUUUCUCUCAUAAGAUCAUGAAUGAAAUCAUUCAGCUCCCCACGUGGGCCCAGUGUGGUGUCUGUGCCCCAUUCCCCUCUCUCCCUCCCUUGUUGCACUCCUGGGCCCCAUGUAGGUGCUCAUAAGUCCCAAAGGCAUGGCAGCCACCUUUGCUGGGCACGCCUGCCACCCUCUGCAGUACCACUCAGCUUUGGCGAGGGCCCCUGCUAGGAGAUGGGAAGACCCCAAGCUUGACCUCCUCCUUUACACAGUCCAUUCUGUUCAAAGGAUACCAAAGCAAACUAAUGUCCCAGAGUAUCAUUUGUGAAAAUAGCUGUUUGAAUUUGCUCAUAGCUUCUCUCCAAUGACCUGAAUUUUGAGUCAGUAGAAGGCUGGCAUAAGGACCCAUCUGUGUGCCUGAGAACUAAGCUUUGGUCCCGGGCCUGGCUGAUCGUCUGGAUUCCACCCUCCACAAUGAGUUCCCAUCUGCGGGCUCUUCGGUUUCUCCAGCGAAUCAUUUCUUCUGGCAGUUCACCAGAUGCACUGACUCGCAGUGGUGGAUGAGGUAUAGACAGAAGCUGGGUUAUCUCCUCUGGUCCCAUCGCUGGACUCCUCUCUACUCACCCCUGCCCCUAAACACACAGUAGAAAAAAAAAUUGUAAAUAAUUUAAAUCAGAAUUGCUCUUUACCAAAAUGACAGAUCAGGGUAUUUUGAGAGAAGACAAGUUUCUAAAAGCGAAAAUUAAGUUUAUCUUCACUAUGCGUCAAGGAGAACUGAUACUGGAACAAUCAAUUUAGAAUUUUGAUCAAGCAAACCAAUUAUAUUGCAUGAUCUGAAGAGAGCACAAUGAUAUAGCUACUCAUUGGGAAAUGUGGGGAAUUUAUACACACACACAUCCCUAAACCAGAGAGGAAAAGAGGGCACCUUUCCCAUUCCCAUUUCCUCCCUUUGGGAUUGGUUUAACGCUUUGCUACAUGUGAAAUAACAAAAAUUAUACAUUGGUCUCUGCCUGUCAUUCCUGACACAGGGUUCGUAAAAACCUUGUAAAUUCCUAAGUGAUAAGAGCACUGGGAGCAUCUUUUGUUCUUGUCAGGCGACUCAAAGUGGCCUCCCUGAUGGAUCCUGAAUGGGGGCUGGUCACCAGAAAGACCAAGCCAUGGCUAGAAGUUUGCCAUUUCCAGCCCCACCCCGCCUCCUCUAGAGAGGGGAGAGGGGCUGGAGAUGGACUUAAUUGAUCAUGACUGGGUCAUGAAGCCUCCAUAAAAUCCGGAAAGUAUAGGGUUCGAGGAGCUUCCAGGUGGGUGAACACAUCCAUGUACCGGGAGGGUGGCCUACCCCAACUCCACGGGAACAGAAGCUCCUGUGCUCUGGACCCUCCCAGACCUCGCCCUGUGCAUCUCUUCAUCUGUCUGUUCAUCCGUAUCCUUUAUCAUAGCCUUCCAUAAACUGGUAAAGUGUUUCCCUGACUUCUGUGAGCUGUUCUAGCAAAUUGUUGAAUUCCACAGGGGAGGAGAUCACGGGAACCUCCAAUUUGUAACCAAGACGGACAGAAGUUGUGGGUAAUCUGGGGACCUACUACUCGUGAGUGGCAUCUGAAGUGGGGGUGGGGGCAGUCUUAUGGGACUGAGCCCUUAACCUGUGGGAUCUGAUGCUAACUCCAGGGAGCUAGUGCCAGCAUUGAGUUGAAUGUAGGGCACUCACCUGGUGUCACAGAGAAUUGUGGGAAAACCCCCACAUCUGGUGUCUGAAGUGUUGUGAGUGUGGUAGUCAUGGGAAAAUAAUGGAGAAACCCAGGAGGAGGCCUGGGAGGUUUUCCAACACACACUCCAAGUGUGGUCCACAGACCAGCCACAUCAGCUCGUUAAAAACGCAGGCUCUCAGCCCCCACCACGGAGCUGCUGAACCAGAAUCCGGGUGUUAACAAUGUAGGAGAUGUGUACACACUUUAAAGUUGUGAAGCACCUCUUUAGACAUUAUUAACCACUUACGCAUACAGAAAAUAUGUUUCAGAUCCUUUCAGAGUUCACAUGUGAACGAGGUAGAGGAAGAAAGGAGUCUUGAGGAACUUGGAGAGGAAUAAAGAGAAAAAGUGAUUAGGAGGGAUGCCGGGAAUGCUAGAGGAAGAAAAACUUCUUGCUUCUCAGUUUUGCCAAAGACUGGCUGUGGGCACCAGCCUUUGCAGUUGAAGCCAAGAGGAACACCAUCCAACUGUGUAAUUUCAAACAGGAACUGUGGGGUUUUCUCCAACUCCACUGCUGGGCCGAGAUUCGGGACACCGGCCCAGCAGACCCGGACCCCGGCUCUCCCUUCCUGCCAGAUUACAGUCCCAGAAGGACCGUUUAAGAAAUUGAUCGCUGGCUUGGGAAAGAAGACAUAUUCACUGUUGAUUUUCCCUUGAAUGGAAUCAGUGAACACUCCGCCUCCAGAUUUAUUUCCAGCCGCUGACAACAAUGUUCAAGACAUGUAGGUGGGAGAAGAAAAUCCUAACUUUAGAAGGUAGCAAUGAUACAUCCCAAGUUUCUUUCUGUUUAAACCUGCUUGUGCUGAGGCAGUUAGAUAUCUGCAGAACAGAAGUAGGUAAGUACCUGGCCUUGCAAAAUAAUGCAUCUCACGGGCAAAGACGGGUGGAGGUCAGCAACUAAAACGUGUGAAAACCAGACCCGUCUGUUCUCUGGGCACUUCCACUCCUCAGCAUGCUGUCCUAAUGAUGAGUUUCCCACUGGGAAAGCACCAGAGAAUGGCAUUACAGGAAUGCAGGUGAAACCUGCACAGCCAUGCGCCUUGGCUGUGCCUUCUCUGGCUCACACUUGGUCCAGCCAUGGGAUCAGUCAGGGAUGGGAGUGCAGCCGCGUACACACUCUGUGCUCACACCCUGCUCUGGGGAAAUACCAUCAUCCUGUAUCCUUUUCUUUUCCACUCAGAGAAUCUGUCUUGGUGACCCAGGAAAUCCAGGGCUUGCUACCAGAUGCUGUGCUGUGGACAUGGGGCCUCCGCUUGGCCGAACAGCACAUCAGACAAUACAGAAUUCGAAGUGGAGUCAGGGCGAUGCGGCUCGCUCGCUGCUUUCUGAGCUGCGGGGACAGGCUGCUAUUAAUCACUCCAGGUCCAUCUAUCAGGCUCUUCUCAUUUGGCCACGGCUCAUAGUCACAGAGGCACCGCCAGGGGCCCCUGAUAAAUCAAAUCCAACAGUUCCAUGAUAAGGAUGACACAGGUGAAUGGGGGACAAAAGCGUACAGUCUUAACCAUGUGUCCACACUAUUAAAAAAGUGGAAGAAGGAUAUGUCUGCUGACUGCCAAGUGCCAGAGACUAUUAAUUUCAAUCUCUCUCUCUAAUGCUAUUAAAUCUCCACCACAGCCCUGUGUGGAAAUGAGGAUUAUUCCUGUGUUCAGAUGAGGAUGCUGAAGCUCAGAGAGGUUAGGAAAUGUGCCCAAGGUCACACAGUCAGUGACUAGUGAAGCUAGUAUAGAACUCAGGUCUAAGAGAAUGGCGGAAAUAACCAGAACAGAGAGGCAGAUAAAUAGUAGAGAAUUGAGUGAGGGGGCUUAGAGAAGAUGAAAAGAGAAAGAGGGAAAAAACAGAACAAGAGGAAAAGGCCAGGGGCAGAAAGCAAACUGCCCUCAUUACCCGGGUUCCUGUGCUGGGGUCCCAGCUUGGCCACUUCCAGGCUGGUGACUUGGUACAAAUCUUAUAACCACAGUUUCUGAAUCUGUCAAAUGAGCUUAGUGAUAUCCAGCCAACUGCUUUACUGGUUUGUUAAGAAUCUGUGUGGAAAGUUCUGCAAAAUUGGAAGUGCUGUACAAAUGGAAGCUACUCAAAUGGUGUUUAGAGGAUGGGCGCGAAUCAAAAGGCCAGGCCUCCAGCAUCAAGUGAAAGAGAAAGUCUACCAUAUAAUGAACAGAACUGCGAGGAGCCCUGGCUUCGGAUGUGCAGCCGCCUUGUAGGAGCACCUGCCGGUCUUGCUUCGCAUCGCACCCGCCCCAUGCAGGGAGAGGUGAGCCCACUGCCACCAGGCAUUUGCUGCAGGUGGAGAGGGCAGAGAACUGAGCCUGCUGCUUGUCUUUCCACUGAGGUUUCAGAGCGUGGAAAGCCCUCCCUAAUCCUGCAGGGGAAUCCAGAGUAAUCACCCCUUCCUUCCCGGGCCAGGAGAAUAUCACUGAGUUGCCCAGUGCUUGUGUUUUAUACUUUUAUUAAUGACAGCCUGGUAAGAUGACGAGAACAAAAACAUGGUGAAUUUUUGUGGGGUUGAGGGUGGGGAGGGAGGAGAUCUGGGAGGAAGGAAACAGGAAGUUUGCAAGUCAAUUCCAAGUAAGGGAUUAACACGACAGGAGUACUGAAGAAACUUUGUUGUGAAAUGAAGUCCGGAAAGAUGAAACCAGAGGUGAAUAAGUUCAUUGGGGAAGCUUCUCUUGUGUUUUUGUGCAGGGCAGAGGGCCAGAAAGGAGAAGGACUCAUAUGAGCAGUUCCUUUGAGGCGAGGACCAUACAGGCAUUUUUGACUCGGAGGCCAGGGAGCUCCCCGGAGUGUUAUCUGGGCUGAGCUGGAAACAAGGCCUGGCGGAGUCUAUUAAUGUUGCCCGACUAAAGAUGAGCACAGGGCUGCAUUUGUAAAUAUCCACUGUUCAGGAUGUGCCUGGAGAUUUCCGAUUUUCUUCAGUAGCACUGCCCGAAAGGUAUUGCAGGAAGAUGCCGCCAGAUGAAGGAGAAAGGCCUACAUCCAAAGAUGUGCUCCUGAGAGGAGGACACAGGAAGCUCCUUUUUGCUUUUUCCGUCCUCCCUUGGGAGGGAGGUGUAGUGAGCUGGAUGGUAUCCCCUAAGAUAUUACUGCAUCCCAACCCCCGGACCUGUGCCCAUUACCUUGUUGGGGAAAAGGGUCUUUGCAGAUUUGAUGAAGUGAAGCAUCUUGAGACGAGGAGAUCAUUCUGGAUUAUCUGGGUAGGCCCUAAAUGCCAUCACAAGUAGUCUUGAAAGAGUGAAGCAGAGGGCGAUUAAACAGACACACGGAGGAGAAGGUGAUGAGAUAGAGUAACGGGACUUCAAGCGAAGGAAGGAACGCCUGGAGCUCCCAGAAGCUGGAAGAGGCAAGGAAGGAUUCUGCCUAGAGCUUCUGGCGGGAGCGUGGCCCUGCCGACACCUUGACUUCACGCUUCUGGCCUCCAGCACGGUGAGAGAACACACUUCUAUUGUUUUCAGUCCCUACAUUUGUGGUAGUUUAUCAUGGCAGCCAUUGGAAACUAAAACACUCUGUAAUGGGAAAAAGUUACCCAGCGGCAGAAACGACCCGGAGUCCUCUGACCUCCCUCUUGGCUCUAGGACUGGGUCUGUUUGCCAGGACCAGGCAGCGGUUCUGUGCCAACCACGUGUGGAGAUUCAGAGGGCAGGAGACCCCCAGUGCAGGCUCUCCACAGAGGUGCACCUGAAAUCAGGGGCCAACCAUGAGAGGUGAGGACCACACUACUGGGGAUGAGAAACAGACACAUAAAACGGGAGCUGUACCUCCAGGAUCUCAUCAGAUCCCCGGCAAGCCUGUGAGCCAGCCCUGAAAGCUCAGAGAGUUGAGCAUGGAAGGAGUGGCUCUGACCUGGUUUGGAAUCCCAGCUUCCCCAUUCAGUGGCCAUGUGACCUCUACCCCUCACCCCAACUCCAGUUUCUUCAUCUAUAAAAUGGGAAUUAUGAAACCUACCUCACAGGCUUGUUGGUGUGAGGUUUAAAGGCAGAGCCCCAGGCUUCCUGAAAGGGCCUGGUAAAGGGCUAUUUCUAUUGUUGCCCAAGAUCACAGAGGUGGUGAGACAGGUCUGCCUGAUGUGCAAGACACGAUCCUUCUGGAGCCGGAGGCUGUGCCAUCACGCAGGGAUCAGACUGUCUACGUGAAGUUGCUCAUUUCAACACCCACACACCACCAGCUCUGUGCCGGAUAUUCCUGCCAUGCUCAGCACCUACGGUCUCUGCUCCCCAAACCACUGGGUUACCAACCUGUCAACCACAUUUCUUAGAUGCCCCGGCCAGCAGGCCUCCACUUCAGUUGCUGCCCAUGGGAGGCCCCUGCAGAAGAGCAGGAGGCAGACAGAGAGAUCCUUUUUCUGGCUUCAGCCCAGGCCCGGGCGGCAGCUGUCCAACACCAGCUCCUGCGGGGCAGCCGCAGUGGGAUCCUGCAGGGCCGCGCUGCUCCCUGCCGCCUUCGGCUUCAGAAGCUGCUGCUCAGCCUGCGGGCUCAGAGGCCAGUAGGUUCCUCCGGGAUUGAGGGGCAGGGCGUGACUUCUUGGUGGUACCACUCCUCCCAUCCCCAUUUUUGCUCCUUCCCUUCCAACAACGUGGAAGCUUCACUCCCCAUGUGAAAUCUCUCUUCGUUUGAAAUACCUGCAGUGACCUCCGUUUUCCUGACUGAAUCCAUGACCAGUACAUCAGUCCUCUGCAGAGGCAUGGGGCUCAAAGCGUAGAGAUCUUAGGGGCCCCAGAAGGCCACCUUCACAGGAAAUACAACCUUACAUUUUCAAUUAGAGAUAAGCCUUAGGAUAAAAGUAUGCCAGGGAAAGCUAUCAUAUUGGCUCCAGUACCUACAGGGGGUCAUUGAUUGCAUCAGAGUCUGUCUUUAGAGAAGGUUUUGUAAAUAGGGCAGAGAAAGAAGAGAGCAGAAAGCAGGAAGGCAGAGAGAGGCGGCUGGGAUGAGAGACAGGAAAAGAGACAGAAUCCCACAGAGAGAGGACACAGUAUCCGUGGGGGAAAGUACAGGCUUGCCCAGCAGCCCUGACUGUAACUUCACUUUUUUUUUUCAUUUUUUUUAAGUUGUGGUCAAAUACACAUAAUACAGAAUGUAUGAUUUUAAUCAUUUUUAAGCAUACAGGUUAGUGGCAUUAAGUACACUCACAUCGUUGUGCAACCGUCGCCACCAUCCAUCUCCACAGCUGUGACAUCUCUCCAGACUGAGACUCUGUACCCAUCACACACAAACUCCCCCUGCCCCUCCUCCAGCCCCUGCCGCCACCACUCUACUUCCCAUCCCUAGGAAUCUGGACACUCCAGGGACCUCAUCCAGAGGCGAUCAGUUCACCCUUUCAUUUAACAUAGUUUAUCCAAAGGAGGACAGUGUGUCUUCUAUCUCAAAGGACUCUCUGUUGGCAGCCCGAGCGCCGUAGCAAAGAAGGACCUCGUCUGUGAGUAAACUGCAGCCAUCCGUUCUCCUGGAGUUAGAAAGAUACAGCACCAGCGACCCGAUGGGCGGACAGUCUUUCUCAGCCACAGGGCAAUUCCAAGGAUGCGUCUGGGGACUGGCCUGGGCCUUCCCAAGCUGCAAUCGUCUGAGCCUGGGCACGUGGGGCACCAGAGGCACGAGAACAGGGGAGGGGACUAGGAGCCAGUUUAUUUGAGGAACUGAGUCAUUCCCCCCAGGAGGACCUUCCCCAAAAGAAAACAGAGUGUGAGUCACCAGACUGAUGACAAAGAGUCCUUAGCAUCAGGACGGGAGGGGAACUUCCAGAAUCAGCACAGGCAGCGUCUGACUUCUGACGGGUUCUUCCCCAGCCCAGACCUGCACUGACUUCUACCUGGGUCCCAGAGAGAGGAUGUGGUAAGACCUGAAAGAGCAGUUUCUGCCGAAAGCUCUGUGGGACCCCUGGCCUGAGCUGUAUCCAGUUGGGUCCUCCUGCCAGAGUGUGACACUGUCCCGGGCCUCUUCCCCCCCACCAUGCAGGGCUGCCUGGGGCCCAGCGAGUAAAAGAAAGAUAGAUCUAACCGGGCUCACUCAUGAGUGGAUGCAGGGGAUCCCCUGGGAACUCCCAGAAAGGCUUGAGGGGAACCACACUGGGCCGCAGUGCCUGCCUGCCUUCAGGGCUAGAAAUAACACUGCAAACGCACAGACUCUAAGUCUUCGAUGGAAGUUGAUUUUUUAGGCAGAAAAAGACCUGCCUGUGCUCCCACUCAGACCUUGGAAGGGGUCUGACAGCUGGGAGUUGGGAUUGCCCUAGGUAUGGCCAGGGUGGCUUUUGCCAGGGGCUAAAUUUGGGACCAAAGGAACAGUAUGAUCCACACCAGGGAUGGGAGUCUUCACGAGGCUAAAACACAGAGAUUGGAAUGUUUUUGCCUUUUUUUUUUAAAGUGCGACUCUGUCGGAAUUAAAAUUUUUUUCUUACCCCUUGUGUGAGGGUUAAGUUGCAAAGUGAGAGCAACUAUGACGUUACGUGAGAGAAGGAGAAAGUGGGCUCAGGGGAGCAACUGGCCAUGGGCUCUGCACAACUGAGACUCUACUCUGGUCCCAGCUGCCAGUGGACCCCAGCCCUGGGAUUCCUGACCUUGGUGUUCUGCAUAAACACGGGCAGGGGAGCUAACAGGUGGGGCUCUACUUCUCGCCUCCAAGAUGCCUUCACCUGCCUCCGGGGUCCUCACAUGCUGCUCAUGGAAUAAGCUGGUUUUCCUUCCACCAUAGGUAAAGGGGGGCUUGAGUGCUCCCAGAACCUGUCCAUCUGGGGGUGUAAACAACCAAUGGCUCCCUACUGGGGGUUGGAAAGGUUGGUGAAAGGAGGAGGUGUAACACUCAGGAGCAGAGUGGGGUCAGCCAGUUCAAACGCCAACUUCACUCCCCAAUUUCCGCAGAUCUUGGACAAAUUAUCCAACCCAUGCAGUGGAUCUCAACCGUGACUGUACAGAAACUCACCUGAGGAAACUUUAAAAAUCCCAAUGCCGAGGUAUCAUGCCAGAGGAGCCAAAUCAGAAUCUGGGGGGUGGGAGCCGGGAUCAGUAUGUUAUUAAAGUUCUCCUGGUGCUUUCUAUGCCCAGCCACUGUUAAGAGCCAUUAGUUCUCAGGCUCCACCCCCAGGGAACUGAAACAACCUCCAUGGGGCCACGUUUUACAAAAACUUCUGAGUGCUUAUCACUGGCAGUUGGGGCUGACAGCGAGACUCUCUCCUUGGGAAUGAGGCGAGCGUGCUACACGCAUCAGGCAGUGGUCAGGAUUAAGGGAGAUAACAUGUAAGGCACUAAGUUACUUCUUGGUUCUCAAUAGGCAUUUAAUAAAUGGUCGGUAUUAUUAUUUUAAAAAUUAUUAUUAUUGUUGCUGUGAUUAUUAGAAACCACAAGGGGAGAAGAGGAUGAAGGAAGGAGACCAGAGGUCAUAAAUACAAACUUGGAGGCAUUCUAGGGUGGCCAAACCUAACUCCACCGACUUUUGAGUUAAGCUUAGAACGCUAGAACCCUGACUUGGCCGCUUGUCUAGAAACGUCUCAAAUUCCAAUUCCACGGCCAAUCCCUGAUCGUUAAUCAGAGCUUCCACCCUUAUUCUGCCACGGUGGCGUGGUUCCAGAAGUGGAGGUCCCGGGAGGAAGCAGCUGCCUGGGUGUGGUCUGGAAGAAGAAAGGGAAGUUUGAAAAGAGGCUCCAGACUGUCCACUCUUUAGCUUUGCCGAUAUCCCUCCGCACUAGCCGCUGGGUACCGCAGUGGACUUGAGUGAGAGGAGACACUUCAUCAGUAAAAGGCCGAGGUGCCUAGGCAGGCCCUGCCUAGUGCUGUCAGUGACCCCUGGAUGGGAGCUGUAAAAGGACAAGAGGACAGCUGUCGCCUGGGAGAUGCUGGGUCCACAGGGACCUUCUUCCUCCACCAGGGAAAGCAGUUCAGCUCUGGAUGUCCCUUCCUGUCCCUUGGCAGCGUGCCGUGUGUCUCAAUGUCUGCUCCUUGAAAUCAGACAGAGCUCUCAGCUACCGGCUAGUGUUUGCUUGGAACACACACAUAACUUCUCUGAACCGCAGGUACCUCAUCCAAAAAUUGGGCCGGUAAUACUUACUUUGAAAUUGGCUUCGUGAAUGAGAGACAACUUCCACAACUGAAUUGAAGUCAAUGAAAUGAGGCAGCGCAGCAGCCAGCCCGGGGAAGAAACUCCCAGAGCACUGACCUCCUCUCGGACAGGACCUUCUUCAACAGACCAGCCUCCUUGUUUCGACCCCAGGAGUCUCCACGGGGGAGCAAUGAAGUGCAGUUGGCUCAGUUAGAAGAAACUCUUAAGGAAGGAACUGAUAUGUCCUGCGCUAUCUGUUGGGCCCCUAUAAACACAGCCUUUCUACAGUGAAGACACCAAGUGUGGUCUCAAGGCCCUGGUUCAUUAGCGAUGUGGGCUCCAAUUGCAGCCAGGGAGUCAAAAGCUGCUGCCGUCUGAAAGGCCCAUCACAAGUACCAAUGCCAGCCCCGCCCUGGCAGGAGGCGCUCCCUUUAACGACUGCUCACUAGGUGAUUACCAGGAAUUAAUUCAGGAGGGAAGAUAAUCAAUAGAUGGCCCACUGAAAGUGGUCCAUUAAGGCAGAACGGCUCUUCUCUUCACGUGUGACGAAUGGUGCCUUUAAAGUAUUCAAUACCAUAAUAAAGGUUGUAAUUAAGUGAGGCAACUUGGCAUCUUUAUAACUGCAUGCUUGGAAAGAUUUAAACUUCAGAUUGAGACACAGGGUAACAUUCAUAAUCCCUCAAAUGGGUUUCCUUUCUAGAAGAGAGAAAAUAAUGUCUGACUCUUCUGAGAAGCUGACGGGGCAGAUCUGUCUCCAGAUCUUUCCAGAGUUAAAAGUAAGAGGUGACUUUGAGCACCUCCUCUUUGGUUCUCAGGCUUUCCUGGCUGGCUUAAUUAUUACCAUCCUCCUAGUGGGAAGAAGGCAGGAGGGGAGAGGCCCGGGGGAAGCAGUGCUGGUCUGGCAGCCUCAGCAGUAUGCAAAUCCCUGGGCCACACACAAAUGACUUCACGGAAGUACAGUCAGGCUUCCCAGACCAACUCAUCUCUAUUUCUGUUGCUUAUUAUUAAAAGACAAGCACUUAUGCCAUCACGUGUCCUUUUGCCUUCCCUCAUCUGUUCCGGAGUUUGCACAUGCAGACCGCAUACACUUCCAAUUAAAAUCCAAUUUUUUCCUUCCUCUGUAGGUUUGAGUAAAAUUUUUUUAAAUGCAAAUUUCAGAUACAUAUUAUAAUUACAAGUCUUCUAUUUGGCAGUUUGCAAAACGGAUGCACUUUGUAAAUUAUCAUCCCAUCCAGGAGAUACACAUCAACCUCUGGACAUUUGCAAAUGGCUGCAGACAUUGUCAAAUAUCCCCCAAGGCUUAGGGCUGUGAGUCUGUGAAGAGAUUCAGCAAAAGAAAGAAGGAAGAUGCUUUCGUUCUCACACUUAUUUGUUUGGCUGCACACUGCCUUUGAUCACAAUCUGUGGAGAGUGUUUAUGGAAAAAUCAUGUAUGAAUCAGAUAGUGUCGUCCUGGGAGACUCUGAAGCCCGGUGGACAAAGAGUGAGCCUGUCAGAGUCCAACCGCGCUCGCUCUCUGCCACCCGCCCCUCAAUCCCAGGGUGCCCCCAUCGCGGUCAUUCCAAAUUCUGAGUAUUUAGCCAUCUCUAGUAGAGAUCAUAGAUUUCAAGAGUGAAACAAAAUGCUUGCGGAGCCCAUAAGGGAAGCUUUUAAACUUAAAACUUAUUAAAGUUGAACUUGGUGUUAGGUGAAAAUAUCUUGCUUUGUGUGCUGGGGGAAGGACAUGAAUGUUUGUAGGGGACACAGUUCUCUUCUGACUGUUGGACAAACAGUGCUGUCCCAAGAUGCAGAGGGGAGAGGAGCCUUCUCGGGCCUUCUCCGGGCUUCUCCCUCUCCUCCGAGUUGAGCCUGGAAGAAGUUAGUUUAAGCGUGCCUACCAGCUGCAAACACAGCCACCGAGGCGGUCAGAGUAAGUCCUGCACUUAUGUAAGGCUCAGAUGCUGUACUUUCAGAUAAAAUGUAGGGACUGACGAGCGUAUGCAGGACAUUUAGCUGUUUAGAGUUCAAAGAAAACAAAAGUGAUGCUUCUGGCAGGGCUGCCUUUGUGCAAAGCGUUGAAAACUGCUCCUCUGGAUCACGGCUUGGUCUAACCACCGCCCACAAGGCUGCCCUUUCCUCCUCUGGACAAAACCCCAUGCCGGGAAGGGCUCGCUGCUGGUGAGGGGAACUUGGGCGGGGUUGCAGGCCCCAUUUGUCCCCUCAGGUGGCUGGGUGCCCUGGUGGUGGCUCUGAGCUGCCAAGUUGCAUUGGGGUUGGAUCUGACUUGCCGAGUUGCGCUGGGAUUGGACUGAGAGUACCCGGCGCCGGGGAGAUGAGGGUGAGAGUGGAGUCAGAGCUGGUCCGGCAGGCUGGGCCAGAGUGGAGAGGGGAGCGGCAGGCACCUAAAUCCCGGGCCCGCCCAGAACUUCAGCAGGUGGAGCCCAGGCAGGCAGAGAGCUGCACCGCUGCCUAUUGCUCUGUCCGCCCAGAGUGUGAAAUCGCCCCUGGGAAGGUUUCAGGGACUGGAUGCGGCAGAUCCUGUAGCUUCAGCUGUCAGAAGAGGUCCCAGACGAAGAUCACAGUUGUCUGAAGGCUUCUACUGCCUUAAAGGUCAGAGCGAAGCUUGCCCAAUCCCACUGUGGUCAGGCUUCCUCACUGCCAUUGCCGAACAGAUGAGAAUCCACACCCCUGGUGCCUUCAUUCAUUUGUUCAACGAAUACUUACUGAGUGCUUGGAAUGUGCUGGGUGCUGUGCUCAGUGCUGCGGAGAUAGUGCUGAGUGAGAAAGAUAUUCACCCUGCACUCCUGGAGUUUAAGGUCUAGCAAGAGAGAUCGACCCUAAAUAAACACUUACAUGAGUAAUGGCACAUUUAGUUGGAUCAUUGGAUUAAGCGCAAUGCCAUUGUCCUUCGAGGGCUUGGCCAGGCACGGGGGCUCUUGACAAGCUUUCUAAAGGAACUCAGGCUUAAUUUGGAGAAGUGCAGACGCGCCAUGUAGAGUCAGAAGGACUUGGAAGGCCAUCUGGUCGCCCUGCCCCUAGUGCACAGAUGAGUGCAUACAGGGUCAUACUGGGUCAAGAGGAAACUCGCCCAUGGUCACGGGGCUUGCUGAGCCCACAAACUGAAUUCGAGAAUGUGUAUCAAACCAUGUACCAGAGUAUGCAAACGUGUACCCUGAUGCACGCUUCAGAAUUCUGCUAGUGGAUAACAAAAGGCAGAGGGUUGGAAAGUCCCAAAUUACAAUGCGUGUGUUUGAUUUUGGAAUAUAUGUGUGCAUAACCUAAGAAUCUGGGUGUGGUUGGAGUCCUGGGAAUUUCCUUCAAACAAAAUGAUGAAAUUACACAACAGUGACCUGACUCACAAGUUGCCAGGAAGCUGUCCAACAGCUCCACCCAGGUCAUUGCUCAACUCUUCUUCUAAGCCCGCGUCUUCCUGGGAAAGUGGAUUUCUUGGUGUCAGAAUGAAAGAAGACUUCUUUGCCCCACCUUUUUCUUGGAGGCACAGAACUCACAUUCAGGCAAAGUAGACAGGAGAGAGUGUUUUAUUUCAAACAAGCUAGAAUCAAACUAAGUUGGAGAAAACUAUUACUAGUAAGUAUCCAGGGUGUUUCCAAAACAAAUAUCUAGCGUACUUUCUGAGGACUCUGCCCCCAUUCAAGAAGUCUGACGUUACCGGAAGGUUUGGGAAUCCCCUAAGGGCUGGUUUGCUGCUGCUGACAGAUAAUUUCAUAAUGCUCCUCCUUCGUGGCUUCCAGAGGCUGCUCAUUAGGCUGAGUAGUUCCGUGAACACAUUAUUUUCAAGAGAUGACUUAAAUUGAGCAUUGGUGGAACUGUUUGAAGAUACUUUUAAUGUAGUGGUUAAAGUUGGAUGACGUUACAAUCCCAGUGAAGCAUCUGCUGGCAGGAAUACUUUAUAUAUUUAAAGUAUUUUAAUUGUUUAGGUCAUAAAAAUUGUGUAUUGAAAUGGUGUGAAUUUGGUUGAUUUCACCUUGCAGUCACCCUCUGGUUCAGUCUAUGAGUCACCCUGAUGCCACAGUUUCACUCCACCAAAGGAGAUUCUACCCCAGAAUAAAAGGAUCCGAAGGAAUAAGUUUCAGAUUUCUUUUUCCUGUGUUCUCUGGAGCCCAGUAGACUGCUCAGGUACUUUGCUGCCACUCAAGGGAGUUACUCAAGAAGCCAACCUCUUCCUGUUUCUUCUGCUCAGUCUCCCAAGGACCAGUUGAGGAUCUAGGGGCUAUGGCAAUAAACUUUUUCAGGAAGGCAGCCUCCCCCUUGGGUGUCAUAUACUCCUUUGUCCAUACCAGUGUUGCUUAAUGGCACCUACCUAGAGUGAAAAGAAUCUUGCAGCGAGGGCAAGGGACACGCAGAUUCCAAUUAGAAAUGUGGAGAUUUUGAAAUGGGCAAAAACGAUUCCUGGGUGUUUUAUCCAGGAGUCAUCUCCAUCAUUCAUUGUUUUUGAGAUCUUUUACAACACUGUAAGUUGUAGAAAACUGAUAAUGAUGCAAAUUAUUCCUAUGCAUAGAAAUGUACAUGAAUUGUGUCUACUUGAAUGCAAUUGAUUAUUGCCCUGUGGAUACUCACCAGUUUUUCAUCUAUUCAUUUUAGCCUUCCUGAUCGCUCAUAUAUAUGUCUGCUCUGGAUUCUCCUUUGAACCACUUGUAACACUGUAUUGGCUUUCUCAUUAAUUACUGAGUUAAAUAAAAUCCCUGACGUGUUCGUUUUAUAUUUGUAUGAGUGUCAAGAUUUACACUAUCUAAAAAUAUUAGCCUUUAAAAUAAAGGUAAGCUGUAUCUCAUA
This is a non-coding RNA of Equus caballus (horse), 15560 nucleotides long. The record is from RefSeq and is a predicted model, not a curated record. NCBI's taxonomy places the organism in Eukaryota, Metazoa, Chordata, Mammalia, Perissodactyla, Equidae.